AGGACGAACGCUGGCGGCGUGCUUAACACAUGCAAGUCGAGCGGUAAGGCCUUUCGGGGUACACGAGCGGCGAACGGGUGAGUAACACGUGGGUGAUCUGCCCUGCACUUCGGGAUAAGCCUGGGAAACUGGGUCUAAUACCGGAUAUGACCUCCGAUCGCAUGGUUGGUGGUGGAAAGAUUUAUCGGUGCAGGAUGGGCCCGCGGCCUAUCAGCUUGUUGGUGGGGUAAUGGCCUACCAAGGCGACGACGGGUAGCCGACCUGAGAGGGUGACCGGCCACACUGGGACUGAGACACGGCCCAGACUCCUACGGGAGGCAGCAGUGGGGAAUAUUGGACAAUGGGCGCAAGCCUGAUCCAGCCAUACCGCGUGGGUGAAGAAGGCCUUCGGGUUGUAAAGCCCUUUUGUGGGAAGAAAGCAUUCGGUUAAUACCCGGUGUUCUGACGGUACCCAAAGAAUAAGCACCGGCUAACUUCGUGCCAGCAGCCGC
Molecule: ribosomal RNA, 491 nt
Filed under: uncultured soil bacterium
Lineage: Bacteria
Description: bacterial SSU rRNA
Rfam family: Bacterial small subunit ribosomal RNA
Source: RNAcentral